AGUGAACGCUGGCGGUAGGCCUAACACAUGCAAGUCGAACGGCAGCACAGUAAGAGCUUGCUCUUACGGGUGCCGAGUGGCGGACGGGUGAGGAAUACAUCGGAAUCUACUUUUUCGUGGGGGAUAACGUAGGGAAACUUACGCUAAUACCGCAUACGACCUACGGGUGAAAGCAGGGGAUCUUCGGACCUUGCGCGAUUCAAUGAGCCGAUGUCGGAUUAGCUAGUUGGCGGGGUAAAGGCCCACCAAGGCGACGAUCCGUAGCUGGUCUGAGAGGAUGAUCAGCCACACUGGAACUGAGACACGGUCCAGACUCCUACGGGAGGCAGCAGUGGGGAAUAUUGGACAAUGGGCGCAAGCCUGAUCCAGCCAUACCGCGUGGGUGAAGAAGGCCUUCGGGUUGUAAAGCCCUUUUGUUGGGAAAGAAAAGCAGCAGGUUAAUACCCCGCUGUUCUGACGGUACCCAAAGAAUAAGCACCGGCUAACUUCGUG
This 492-nucleotide ribosomal RNA is filed under the name uncultured bacterium. RNAcentral's name for it is "partial 16S ribosomal RNA". It matches the Rfam family "Bacterial small subunit ribosomal RNA", at positions 29 to 507 of the family's 1533-position model. The record is from RNAcentral.